UUAAGACCUAGCAAUAGGUAUGCUUAGGGAGGAGCUUGCGUCACAUUAGUUAGUUGGUGGGGUAAAGGCCUACCAAGACUAUGAUGUGUAGCCGGGCUGAGAGGUUGAACGGCCACAUUGGGACGAGACACGGCCCAAACUCCUACGGGAGGCAGCAGUAGGGAAUUUUCGGCAAUGGAGGAAACUCUGACCGAGCAACGCCGCGUGAACGAUGAAGUAUUUCGGUACGUAAAGUUCUUUUAUUAGGGAAGAAUAAAUGAUGGAAAAAUCAUUCUGACGGUACCUAAUGAAUAAGCCCCGGCUAACUAUGUGCCAGCAGCCGCGGUAAUACAUAGGGGGCAAGCGUUAUCCGGAAUUAUUGGGCGUAAAGGGUGCGUAGGCGGUUAAAUAAGUUUAUGGUCUAAGUGCAAUGCUCAACAUUGUGAGCUAUAAAAACUGUUUAGCUAGAGUAAGAUAGAGGCAAGUGGAAUUCCAUGUGUAGUGGUAAAAUGCGUAAAUAAUGGAGGAACACCAGUAGCGAAGGCGGCUUGCUGGGUCUUUACUGACGCUGAGGCACGAAAGCGUGGGAGCAAACAGGAUUAGAUACCCUGGUAGUCCACGCCGUAAACGAUGAGUACUAAACGUUGGGUAAAACCAGUGUUGAAGUUAACACAUUAAGUACUCCGCCUGAGUAGUACGUACGCAAGUAUGAAACUUAAAGGAAUUGACGGGACUCCGCACAAGCGGUGGAUCAUGUUGUUUAAUUCGAAGGUACCCGAAAAACCUCACCAGGUCUUGACAUGCUUCUGCAAAGCUGUAGAAACACAGUGGAGGUUAUCAGUUGCACAGGUGGUGCAUGGUUGUCGUCAGCUCGUGUCGUGAGAUGUUGGGUUAAGUCCCGCAACGAGCGCAACCCUUAUUGUUAGUUACCAGCACGUAAUGGUGGGGACUUUAGCAAGAUGCCAGUGAUAAAUUGGAGGAAGGUGGGGACGACGUCAAAUCAUCAUGCCCCUUAUGACCUGGGCUACAAACGUAUACAAUGGCUGUUACAAAGGGUAGCUGAAGCGCAAGUUUUUGGCGAAUCUCAAAAAAACAGUCUCAGUUCGGAUUGAAGUCUGCAACUCGACUUCAUGAAGUUGGAAUCGCUAGUAAUCGCGAAUCAGACA
This 1145-nucleotide ribosomal RNA is filed under the name Candidatus Phytoplasma oryzae. RNAcentral describes it as "bacterial SSU rRNA". It matches the Rfam family "Bacterial small subunit ribosomal RNA", at positions 196 to 1354 of the family's 1533-position model. Lineage: Bacteria; Bacillati; Mycoplasmatota; Mollicutes; Acholeplasmatales; Acholeplasmataceae. The record is from RNAcentral.